UACGUAGGGGGCUAGCGUUGUCCGGAAUCAUUGGGCGUAAAGAGCGUGUAGGCGGUCCGGUAAGUCCGCUGUGAAAGUCGGGGGCUCAACCCUCGAAUGCCGGUGGAUACUGUCGGGCUAGAGUGCGGAAGAGGCGAGUAGAAUUCCUGGUGUAGCGGUGAAAUGCGCAGAGAUCAGGAGGAACACCUAUUGCGAAGGCAGCUCGCUGGGACGUAACUGACGCUGAGACACGAAAGCGUGGGGAGCAAACAGG
RNAcentral lists this ribosomal RNA (253 nucleotides) under uncultured bacterium. Its description in RNAcentral is "partial 16S ribosomal RNA". It matches the Rfam family "Bacterial small subunit ribosomal RNA", at positions 524 to 776 of the family's 1533-position model. The record is from RNAcentral.